GAUGAACGCUAGCGGGAGGCCUAACACAUGCAAGCCGAGCGGUAGAGUUUCUUCGGAAACUUGAGAGCGGCGCACGGGUGCGUAACACGUGUGCAACCUACCUUUAUCUGGGGGAUAGCCUUUCGAAAGGAAGAUUAAUACCCCAUAAUAUAAUGAUUGGCAUCAAUUAUUAUUGAAAACUCCGGUGGAUAGAGAUGGGCACGCGCAAGAUUAGAUAGUUGGUGAGGUAACGGCUCACCAAGUCAAUGAUCUUUAGGGGUCCUGAGAGGGAGAUCCCCCACGCUGGUACUGAGACACGGACCAGACUCCUACGGGAGGCAGCAGUGAGGAAUAUUGGACAAUGGGUGAGAGCCUGAUCCAGCCAUCCCGCGUGAAGGAUGACGGUCCUAUGGAUUGUAAACUUCUUUUGUACAGGGAUAAACCUACUCUCGUGAGGGUAGCUGAAGGUACUGUACGAAUAAGCACCGGCUAACUCCGUG
This 479-nucleotide ribosomal RNA is filed under the name uncultured bacterium. RNAcentral's name for it is "partial 16S ribosomal RNA". It matches the Rfam family "Bacterial small subunit ribosomal RNA", at positions 28 to 507 of the family's 1533-position model. The record is from RNAcentral.